Molecule: non-coding RNA, 73 nt
Organism: Globomyces sp. JEL0801
Lineage: Eukaryota; Fungi; Chytridiomycota; Chytridiomycetes; Rhizophydiales; Globomycetaceae
Source: the annotation of a GenBank genome assembly
GGUUGCAUAGUGUAGUGGUUAUCACGUGACCUUCACAUGGUCAAGGUCUCCAGUUCGAUCCUGGAUGCAAUCA